Molecule: ribosomal RNA, 352 nt
Filed under: uncultured Leptolinea sp.
Lineage: Bacteria; Bacillati; Chloroflexota; Anaerolineae; Anaerolineales; Anaerolineaceae
Description: bacterial SSU rRNA
Rfam family: Bacterial small subunit ribosomal RNA
Source: RNAcentral
GACCCUUCGGGAGCUUGCACAGGUGCUGCAUGGCUGUCGUCAGCUCGUGUCGUGAGAUGUUCGGUUAAGUCCGCUAACGAGCGCAACCCUCGUCGUGUGUUAUACGUGUCACACGAUACUGCCGGUAUCAAGCCGGAGGAAGGUGGGGAUGAUGUCAAGUCAGCAUGGCCUUUAUAUCCUGGGCUACACACACGCUACAAUGGCAGAUACAAUAGGUUGCGAAACCGCGAGGUGGAGCCAAUCCUCAAAGUCUGUCUCAGUUCAGAUUGUAGGCUGCAACUCGCCUGCAUGAAGUUGGAGUUGCUAGUAAACGCAGGUCAGCUAUACUGCGUUGAAUACGUUCCCGGGGUUU